This 1039-nucleotide ribosomal RNA is filed under the name Bifidobacterium longum subsp. infantis. RNAcentral describes it as "bacterial SSU rRNA". It matches the Rfam family "Bacterial small subunit ribosomal RNA", at positions 409 to 1455 of the family's 1533-position model. Lineage: Bacteria; Bacillati; Actinomycetota; Actinomycetes; Bifidobacteriales; Bifidobacteriaceae. The record is from RNAcentral.
UGGAGGCCUUCGGGUUGUAAACCUCUUUUAUCGGGGAGCAAGCGUGAGUGAGUUUACCCGUUGAAUAAGCNCCGGCUAACUACGUGCCAGCAGCCGCGGUAAUACGUAGGGUGCAAGCGUUAUCCGGAAUUAUUGGGCGUAAAGGGCUCGUAGGCGGUUCGUCGCGUCCGGUGUGAAAGUCCAUCGCUUAACGGUGGAUCCGCGCCGGGUACGGGCGGGCUUGAGUGCGGUAGGGGAGACUGGAAUUCCCGGUGUAACGGUGGAAUGUGUAGAUAUCGGGAAGAACACCAAUGGCGAAGGCAGGUCUCUGGGCCGUUACUGACGCUGAGGAGCGAAAGCGUGGGGAGCGAACAGGAUUAGAUACCCUGGUAGUCCACGCCGUAAACGGUGGAUGCUGGAUGUGGGGCCCGUUCCACGGGUUCCGUGUCGGAGCUAACGCGUUAAGCAUCCCGCCUGGGGAGUACGGCCGCAAGGCUAAAACUCAAAGAAAUUGACGGGGGCCCGCACAAGCGGCGGAGCAUGCGGAUUAAUUCGAUGCAACGCGAAGAACCUUACCUGGGCUUGACAUGUUCCCGACGAUCCCAGAGAUGGGGUUUCCCUUCGGGGCGGGUUCACAGGUGGUGCAUGGUCGUCGUCAGCUCGUGUCGUGAGAUGUUGGGUUAAGUCCCGCAACGAGCGCAACCCUCGCCCCGUGUUGCCAGCGGAUUAUGCCGGGAACUCACGGGGGACCGCCGGGGUUAACUCGGAGGAAGGUGGGGAUGACGUCAGAUCAUCAUGCCCCUUACGUCCAGGGCUUCACGCAUGCUACAAUGGCCGGUACAACGGGAUGCGACGCGGCGACGCGGAGCGGAUCCCUGAAAACCGGUCUCAGUUCGGAUCGCAGUCUGCAACUCGACUGCGUGAAGGCGGAGUCGCUAGUAAUCGCGAAUCAGCAACGUCGCGGUGAAUGCGUUCCCGGGCCUUGUACACACCGCCCGUCAAGUCAUGAAAGUGGGCAGCACCCGAAGCCGGUGGCCUAACCCCUUGUGGGANGGAGCCG